GGCGUGUGUGCCGUGUCGUGUUUGUCAUCCUUCCAGAGAGCUGCGUCUACCAUUCACUUGGCCGGACGUACGCGAUCUGGAUCGAUUACUUUGAAAAAAUUAGAGUGUUUAAAGCAGGCUUACGCUGUGAAUACAUUAGCAUGGAAUAAUAAUUUAGGACUUCGGUUCUAUUUUGUUGGUUUCUAGGACUGAAGUAAUGAUUGAUAGGGACAGUUGGGGGUGCUAGUAUUCCGCGGCCAGAGGUGAAAUUCUUGGAUUCGCGGAAGACUAACUACUGCGAAAGCAUUCACCAAGGAUGUCUUCUUUAAUCAAGAACGAAAGUUGGGGGAUCGAAGACGAUCAGAUACCGUCGUAGUCUCAACCAUAAACUAUACCGACUAAGGAUCAGUGAACGUUGAUUUACGACUUCAUUGGCACUUUGUGAGAAAUCAAAGUCUUUGGGUUCCGGGGGGAGUAUGGUCGCAAGGCUGAAACUUAAAGGAAUUGACGGAAGGGCACCACCAGGAGUGGAGCCUGCGGCUUAAUUUGACUCAACACGGGAAAACUCACCAGGUCCGGACAUGGUAAGGAUUGACAGAUUGAGAGCACUUUUAAGAUUUCAUGGGAGGUGGUGCAUGGCCGUUCUUAGUUGGUGGAGUGAUUUGUCAGGUUAAUUCCGAUAACGAGCGAGACCCUGUGAUGACGGUAAUGAUUGAGUAUGUAAAUACGCGAGACGUUUCUUCAUUGACACCCCA
Molecule: ribosomal RNA, 734 nt
Filed under: uncultured eukaryote
Lineage: Eukaryota
Description: bacterial SSU rRNA
Rfam family: Eukaryotic small subunit ribosomal RNA
Source: RNAcentral